This 75-nucleotide transfer RNA is filed under the name Elusimicrobiota bacterium. RNAcentral describes it as "Elusimicrobia bacterium (rhizosphere metagenome) tRNA-Val". It matches the Rfam family "tRNA". From Rfam's summary of the family: Transfer RNA (tRNA) molecules are approximately 80 nucleotides in length. Their secondary structure includes four short double-helical elements and three loops (D, anti-codon, and T loops). Further hydrogen bonds mediate the characteristic L-shaped molecular structure. tRNAs have two regions of fundamental functional importance: the anti-codon, which is responsible for specific mRNA codon recognition, and the 3' end, to which the tRNAs corresponding amino acid is attached (by aminoacyl-tRNA synthetases). tRNAs cope with the degeneracy of the genetic code in two manners: having more than one tRNA (with a specific anti-codon) for a particular amino acid; and 'wobble' base-pairing, i.e. permitting non-standard base-pairing at the 3rd anti-codon position. Lineage: Bacteria; Pseudomonadati; Elusimicrobiota. The record is from RNAcentral.
GGGCAGUUAGCUCAGCGGGAGAGCGUCCGCCUCACACGCGGAAGGUCAUAGGUUCAAUCCCUAUACUGCCCACCA